Molecule: ribosomal RNA, 475 nt
Filed under: uncultured soil bacterium
Lineage: Bacteria
Description: bacterial SSU rRNA
Rfam family: Bacterial small subunit ribosomal RNA
Source: RNAcentral
AGGACGAACGCUGGCGGCGUGCUUAACACAUGCAAGUCGAGCGGUAAGGCCUUUCGGGGUACACGAGCGGCGAACGGGUGAGUAACACGUGGGUGAUCUGCCCUGCACUUCGGGAUAAGCCUGGGAAACUGGGUCUAAUACCGGAUAUGACCUCCGAUCGCAUGGUUGGUGGUGGAAAGAUUUAUCGGUGCAGGAUGGGCCCGCGGCCUAUCAGCUUGUUGGUGGGGUAAUGGCCUACCAAGGCGACGACGGGUAGCCGACCUGAGAGGGUGACCGGCCACGACUGGGACUGAGACACGGCCCAGACUCCUACGGGAGGCAGCAGUGGGAAUAGUGCACAAUGGGCAAAGCCUGAUGCAGCGACGCCGCGUGAGGAUGACGGCCUUCGGGGUUCGUAAACCGUCUUUACCGAGUCGAGGACGAAGCGCAAGUGACGGUACCUGCAAGAAGAAGCACCGCUAACUACGUGCCAGCA